Non-coding RNA from Tinamus guttatus (white-throated tinamou), 218 nucleotides. The record is from RefSeq and is a predicted model, not a curated record. NCBI's taxonomy places the organism in Eukaryota, Metazoa, Chordata, Aves, Tinamiformes, Tinamidae.
UUCCUCCCGCCAGACUGACUUGCACCUUCGCUAUAAUUUCUCUUCCCCUCGUUUUUUUUUUCUUCUACUCUUCUCCCUGCUUCCAAACCCUGUGUCUGUGUGUUUCAAUACUAUCACAACCUCCGCUAAAAAUAGAUCUUUUUAUAUACCCUUCCUCCUCUCUGACCCCAUCCAACACCCCUUGUUAAGGUGAGUUUUGUUCAGAUUGGACAGAAUUG